This is a long non-coding RNA of Oncorhynchus tshawytscha (Chinook salmon), 702 nucleotides long. NCBI's taxonomy places the organism in Eukaryota, Metazoa, Chordata, Actinopteri, Salmoniformes, Salmonidae. The record is from Ensembl.
GUCUAUGGUUACUAAGGAUACAGGUCUAUGGUUAGGAAGGAUACAGGUCUAUGGUUACUAAGGAUACAGGUAUAUGGUUACUAAGGAUACAGGUCUAUGGUUACUAAGGAUACAGGUCUAUGGUUAAUAAGGAUACAGGUCUAUGGUUAAUAAGGAUACAGGUCUAUGGCUAAUAAGGAUACAGGUCUAUGGUUACUAAGGAUACAGGUCUAUGGUUACUAAGGAUACAGGUCUAUGGUUAAUAAGGAUACAGGUAUAUGGUUACUAAGGAUACAGGUCUAUGGUUAAUAAGGAUACAGGUCUAUGGUUACUAAGGAUACAGGUCUAUGGCUAAUAAGGAUAUAGAUCUAUGGCUAAUAAGGAUACAGGUCUAUGGUUACUAAGGAUACAGGUCUAUGGUUACUAAGGAUACAGGCCUAUGGUUAAUAAGGAUACAGGUCUAUGGUUACUAAGGAUACAGGUCUAUGGUUACUAAGGAUACAGGCCUAUGGUUAAUAAGGAUACAGGUCUAUGGUUACUAAGGAUACAGGUCUAUGGUUACUAAGGAUACAGGUUGUCCUUUAUUGUUAUGAUCCUUGUCCUGAAGGCAGAACUGAGGGAUUUCCUCCUUGUCUAGGCCAGCUGCAAAGUCAACAUUGACUAUAUUGUAAAAAUGUAUACAAAUUAGGAUUUAAGAUUAGGGUUAAGGUUAGGACAAGGGUG